ACACUCAAAAUAAUCCACACGUCAUUACUACGUGGAAAAUCACGUAAAUUCCUAGAAAUGAACUUUUUCUUCAAUUCACCUGACAAAGGUAACAGUUACCGGUCACUAAAUAAGACUGAAUUGUGGCUCCGGUCAUUUUUACUGUCUUGACCUAUCACACCUACGUGAAAAUCACGUACAUGCUUUAAUUCAUUCUGAUUGGCUGAAUGACCACGAUUCAUUCUGUGUUGUGAUAAAAUUUAAAGAUGGCUGCCAUUGAAAACAAACUUCAAGAUUUAGUGGAGUGAAGUUUUAUAAAACAAAUUCAAUAGUUUGGAAGGUAGGUUGGAUUAUUCUUCUGUUUUAUCUGUGUUCCUAAUAGUAAUAUUUUUGUUUUGCAGAGCGCAAUUUUUCAUAAAUACUUUGCCGCAAUGGUGGUAAAACGCGUAAAGAUUUCUCACUCACGAAGACAUUGCGGGCUGACGGAGCACAAUGUAUUCCGAAAUGUUUGUUUAAAAAAUAAGAUAUUAUUACGACUAUUCGCUCAAGGCUUCGAUGAAGGCUUCCGUCUGCAGCCAUUUCGAUGCGACUACACCGUAAAUCAAGAGCGCCUAUCAAAACGAUCAAAACAGCGUGUCGACUAUUUAUUAGUUUUAGUUUAACAAUAAAAGUGUACAUCCAUCUAACUAA
Molecule: long non-coding RNA, 669 nt
Organism: Aedes albopictus (Asian tiger mosquito)
Lineage: Eukaryota; Metazoa; Arthropoda; Insecta; Diptera; Culicidae
Exons: 2
Source: RefSeq, a predicted model, not a curated record